GAGUUUGAUCGUGGCUCAGGAUGAACGCUGGCGGCGUGCCUAACACAUGCAAGUCGAACGGGGUUCUUAAGGAAUGCGGCUUCGGCCAAAUGACUUUUGAACUUAGUGGCGGACGGGUGAGUAACGCGUGAGCAACCUGCCUUUCAGAGGGGGAUAACAUUUGGAAACAGAUGCUAAUACCGCAUAAGAUUACAGUACCGCAUGAUACAGUGAUCAAAGGAGCAAUCCGCUGAAAGAUGGGCUCGCGUCCGAUUAGAUAGUUGGUGAGGUAACGGCUCGCCAAGUCGACGAUCGGUAGCCGGACUGAGAGGUUGAACGGCCACAUUGGGACUGAGACACGGCCCAGACUCCUACGGGAGGCAGCAGUGGGGAAUAUUGCACAAUGGGCGAAAGCCUGAUGCAGCAACGCCGCGUGAGGGAAGACGGUUUUCGGAUUGUAAACCUCUGUUUCGGUGACGAACAAAUGACGGUAACCGAGUAGGAAGCCACGGCUAACUACGUGCCAGCCGCCGCA
RNAcentral lists this ribosomal RNA (514 nucleotides) under uncultured microorganism. RNAcentral describes it as "bacterial SSU rRNA". It matches the Rfam family "Bacterial small subunit ribosomal RNA", at positions 9 to 519 of the family's 1533-position model. The record is from RNAcentral.